Small nuclear RNA from Eubalaena glacialis (North Atlantic right whale), 107 nucleotides. The record is from RefSeq and is a predicted model, not a curated record. NCBI's taxonomy places the organism in Eukaryota, Metazoa, Chordata, Mammalia, Artiodactyla, Balaenidae.
GUGCUUGUUUUGACAGCACAUAUACAAAAAUUGGAACAAUACAGAGAAGAUUAGCAUGGCCCCCGCACAAGGAUGACACGCAAAUUCAUGAAGAGUUCCAUAUUUUU